UGGGAAAGAGCUGUGGCUCAGUGGCAGAACACCUGCUUGGCAUACAGAAGGCCCCAAGUUCAAUCCUUGGCACCCCAA
This 78-nucleotide transfer RNA is filed under the name Sphaerodactylus townsendi. RNAcentral describes it as "tRNA-Ala". It matches the Rfam family "tRNA". Rfam says of the family: Transfer RNA (tRNA) molecules are approximately 80 nucleotides in length. Their secondary structure includes four short double-helical elements and three loops (D, anti-codon, and T loops). Further hydrogen bonds mediate the characteristic L-shaped molecular structure. tRNAs have two regions of fundamental functional importance: the anti-codon, which is responsible for specific mRNA codon recognition, and the 3' end, to which the tRNAs corresponding amino acid is attached (by aminoacyl-tRNA synthetases). tRNAs cope with the degeneracy of the genetic code in two manners: having more than one tRNA (with a specific anti-codon) for a particular amino acid; and 'wobble' base-pairing, i.e. permitting non-standard base-pairing at the 3rd anti-codon position. Lineage: Eukaryota; Metazoa; Chordata; Lepidosauria; Squamata; Sphaerodactylidae. The record is from RNAcentral.